RNAcentral lists this ribosomal RNA (253 nucleotides) under uncultured bacterium. RNAcentral describes it as "partial 16S ribosomal RNA". It matches the Rfam family "Bacterial small subunit ribosomal RNA", at positions 524 to 776 of the family's 1533-position model. The record is from RNAcentral.
UACGGAAUGUGCAAACGUUAUUCGGAAUCACUGGGCUUAAAGAGUCCGUAGGCGGCUUGUUAGGUGAGGUGUGAAAUCCCCCGGCUCAACCGAGGAAUUGCGCUUCAAACCGGCAAGCUUGAGGAGGAUAGAGGUGGGCGGAACUGAUGGUGGAGCGGUGAAAUGCGUUGAUAUCAUCAGGAACACCGGAGGCGAAAGCGGUCCACUGGGUCCUUUCUGACGCUGAGGCGCGAAAGCCAGGGGAGCAAACGGG